Molecule: ribosomal RNA, 943 nt
Filed under: Staphylococcus aureus
Lineage: Bacteria; Bacillati; Bacillota; Bacilli; Caryophanales; Staphylococcaceae
Description: partial 23S ribosomal RNA
Rfam family: Bacterial large subunit ribosomal RNA
Source: RNAcentral
UCCACCGAUUGACUAAGGUUUCCAGAGGAAGGCUCGUCCGCUCUGGGUUAGUCGGGUCCUAAGCUGAGGCCGACAGGCGUAGGCGAUGGAUAACAGGUUGAUAUUCCUGUACCACCUAUAAUCGUUUUAAUCGAUGGGGGGACGCAGUAGGAUAGGCGAAGCGUGCGAUUGGAUUGCACGUCUAAGCAGUAAGGCUGAGUAUUAGGCAAAUCCGGUACUCGUUAAGGCUGAGCUGUGAUGGGGAGAAGACAUUGUGUCUUCGAGUCGUUGAUUUCACACUGCCGAGAAAAGCCUCUAGAUAGAAAAUAGGUGCCCGUACCGCAAACCGACACAGGUAGUCAAGAUGAGAAUUCUAAGGUGAGCGAGCGAACUCUCGUUAAGGAACUCGGCAAAAUGACCCCGUAACUUCGGGAGAAGGGGUGCUCUUUAGGGUUAACGCCCAGAAGAGCCGCAGUGAAUAGGCCCAAGCGACUGUUUAUCAAAAACACAGGUCUCUGCUAAACCGUAAGGUGAUGUAUAGGGGCUGACGCCUGCCCGGUGCUGGAAGGUUAAGAGGAGUGGUUAGCUUCUGCGAAGCUACGAAUCGAAGCCCCAGUAAACGGCGGCCGUAACUAUAACGGUCCUAAGGUAGCGAAAUUCCUUGUCGGGUAAGUUCCGACCCGCACGAAAGGCGUAACGAUUUGGGCACUGUCUCAACGAGAGACUCGGUGAAAUCAUAGUACCUGUGAAGAUGCAGGUUACCCGCGACAGGACGGAAAGACCCCGUGGAGCUUUACUGUAGCCUGAUAUUGAAAUUCGGCACAGCUUGUACAGGAUAGGUAGGAGCCUUUGAAACGUGAGCGCUAGCUUACGUGGAGGCGCUGGUGGGAUACUACCCUAGCUGUGUUGGCUUUCUAACCCGCACCACUUAUCGUGGUGGGAGACAGUGUCAGGCGGGCAGUUU